UAUGUGAUCGUCUCUCGCAUAUCAAUAAGCGGAGGAAAAGAAACUAACAAGGAUUCCCCUAGUAACGGCGAGUGAAGCGGGAAGAGCUCAAAUUUGAAAUCUUAAAGGGUUUCCCUUUACUGAAUUGUAGUUUAAAGAAGUGUUUUCUGUUGAGGUUUUGGUAAAAGUUCUUUGGAAUAGGACAUCAUAGAGGGUGAGAAUCCCGUAUUUGACCUUUACUUUCAACUUUGUGAUACACUUUCAAAGAGUCGGAUUGUUUGGGAAUGCAGUCCAAAAUGGGUGGUAAAUUUCAUCUAAAGCUAAAUAUUGGCGAGAGACCGAUAGCGAACAAGUACCGUGAGGGAAAGAUGAAAAGAACUUUGAAAAGAGAGUUAAACAGUACGUGAAAUUGUCAAAAGGGAAGCGUUUGACACCAGGUGUUGUUUUUCUGAAAAUCAAUUAAAGAACUGUUUAUGCUAAGUUGUUUAGACUUUAUCAGCUAACUGUUUAGUUUUGAGCUUUUCUUUAAUGCACUUUUCAGUUAACAAGUCAACAUCAAUUCCUUUUGCUGUAAAAAAGCUUGAGGAAGGUGGCUUGAGAUUCGUCUUAAGUGUUUAUAGCCUCUUGCCUAUGCAGUCGGAGAGAUUGAGGUCUGCAGCGUAGAUCCUUCGGGGCUAAAUGCAUUUGUGCUAAGUUAUAGCAUUUUAUAGACAACUUGUUGACUAUGAUUUGUCUUGUAGCUUACUCGCUUAUGUUAUUUUACCUACGCUUAGGAUGUUGAAGACUCUACAGAGAUA
RNAcentral lists this ribosomal RNA (776 nucleotides) under uncultured Neocallimastigales. RNAcentral's name for it is "partial large subunit ribosomal RNA". It matches the Rfam family "Eukaryotic large subunit ribosomal RNA", at positions 24 to 633 of the family's 3401-position model. The record is from RNAcentral. Lineage: Eukaryota; Fungi; Neocallimastigomycota; Neocallimastigomycetes; Neocallimastigales.